AACCAGAAGGCGCAAUGAAAGUGAAGGCACGGUCGCCGUGCUGAGGUGAGAGCUGUCCAUGGCAGCACAUCAUCGACCGAUCCCAUCCACGCUCUCGUGGUGUGGCGGGAUUCGAGUAAGAGUGUACCUGUUGCGACCCGAAAGAUGGUGAACUAUGCCUGAAUAGGGUGAAGCCAGAGGAAACUCUGGUGGAGGCCCGUAGCGAUUCUGACGUGCAAAUCGAUCGUCAAAUUUGGGUAUAGGGGCGAAAGACUAAUCGAACCAUCUAGUAGCUGGUUCCCUCCGAAGUUUCCCUCAGGAUAGCUGUAGCCCUAAGCAGUUUUAUCAGGUAAAGCGAAUGAUUAGAGGUAUCGGGGAAGAAACUUCCUCGACCUAUUCUCAAACUUUAAAUAGGUAAGAAGUCCGACUUGCUUAAUCUGAAGCCGGACACAGAAUGCUGGGUUACUAGUGGGCCAUUUUUGGUAAGCAGAACUGGCGAUGCGGGAUGAACCGAACGCCGAGUUAAGGUGCCAAAGUCGACGCUCAUCAGAUCCCACAAA
RNAcentral lists this ribosomal RNA (539 nucleotides) under Demospongiae sp. RF058. RNAcentral describes it as "eukaryotic LSU rRNA". It matches the Rfam family "Eukaryotic large subunit ribosomal RNA", at positions 705 to 1218 of the family's 3401-position model. Lineage: Eukaryota; Metazoa; Porifera; Demospongiae. The record is from RNAcentral.